UACGAAGGGGGCAAGCGUUGUUCGGAAUUAUUGGGCGUAAAGGGCGCGUAGGCGGUGUCGCAAGUCCGUGGUGAAAUCUCCAGGCUCAACUUGGAGUCUGCCGCGGAAACUGCGGUGCUAGAGUGUGGGAGAGGUGCGUGGAAUUCCUGGUGUAGCGGUGAAAUGCGUAGAUAUCAGGAGGAACACCUGUGGCGAAAGCGGCUCACUGGACCAUAACUGACGCUGAUGCACGAAAGCUAGGGGAGCAAACAGG
This 253-nucleotide ribosomal RNA is filed under the name uncultured bacterium. RNAcentral's name for it is "partial 16S ribosomal RNA". It matches the Rfam family "Bacterial small subunit ribosomal RNA", at positions 524 to 776 of the family's 1533-position model. The record is from RNAcentral.